UACAAAAGCUCUUUAGAGGUGGCAUUCUUUCCUACUACAGUGAGCAAUCAACAGAUUUGUGUUAUCAACAGCUUGUGUUGGUGUUAUUUGGGGAACCAGCAUUCAACAGAGAAAUUCAUUAAGCAUUGUGGAAUGUGAUACUAGGAGUUCUCCACAUGUGCCGUGUCCAUAUAUAGUAUCAAAAUCAAGAAGAUUCAAACCCAGGGUGCUAUACGUUUCCAUGAACUUCCCCUCAGAGCAAUCGGGAGCAGGGUGUGCCGGGAGAAGGACUCUGGGGUGUGGAUUUCAUGCUAGUCCUUCAACCUCAAUCAGCUUCUGGGAUUUCCACAUGGAAGAAGAUAUGACUCCCACUAACAAGAAGAAGACUGAUUCUGCCUCUAGGCCAAAUUCCACAACCCUUAUGAGAGAGAAGUGUAUGAAGGACUAAGGAAUAGAGAAGACACAGGUUUUGAACUCAUGAACUGGGUUCUCAUUAUUGGGUUCCUUACUUCCCAGCUUGGUAUUGCUGGCUUGGUAUUGCCAGCUGGUCACUGGGUGGUCAGGAUGGGGGAUCAUGGGGGCAGCACCCACAUAGGGAUGACACGUGGAGUGAAGUGGAAUGGAGUGUCCACCUGCCUGUGUCCACCCAGUGAGGCUGCGAUGAGCCCCUGUGGAUGGAUGGCUGGUGACACUUGGGAGCAGCCGCAGACAAGCUAGUCACUCAGAGACUUAGGGCCUCACUGGGGAGGCGUGAGAUUUCCUUCAGUCCAUGGAUGCCAAGUGAACACCACUCUGUGCCCAUAUGCAGCACUGACGACAAAGAAGACAGACCCCAAGAAAGGGGUGGUGGGGGUUACACCUUGCCAGGAAAGUUCCUGGGACUGGCGAUGAGCUAGACUCCACCAGUUGGCUGUGUGACUUGAGAAAGCAACUUAAUCUCUCCAACCUCAUUCAAUUCAUUCAAUGACUGCUUAUCAGGUACUCCCUGCAUGCCAACCAUUGUUAGAUACUUUUGAUGCAGCCUUUUCUACAAAAUAGGGUUUUUUACCAUCUACCUAAUAGGACUGAUGUUAAGUCCAUAAGACAUAAAGCAAUGACCAUAGUACCUGGCCCUCAAUUAAGAUGAGUUAUAAUCUCCUACUAACACACCUCUCCUUUUGGAAGUUGGGGAUUGGGGCGUGAUGGAUAAGAAGCAAGUCAAUUCAAA
This is a non-coding RNA of Macaca mulatta (Rhesus monkey), 1186 nucleotides long. The record is from RefSeq and is a predicted model, not a curated record. NCBI's taxonomy places the organism in Eukaryota, Metazoa, Chordata, Mammalia, Primates, Cercopithecidae.